ACGAACGCUGGCGGCGUGCUUAACACAUGCAAGUCGAACGCUGAAGCUCAGCUUUUGUUGGGUGGAUGAGUGGCGAACGGGUGAGUAACACGUGAGUAACCUGCCCCCUUCUUUGGGAUAACGCCCGGAAACGGGUGCUAAUACUGGAUAUUCACUGGUCUUCGCAUGGGGGUUGGUGGAAAGGGUUUUUCUGGUGGGGGAUGGGCUCGCGGCCUAUCAGCUUGUUGGUGGGGUGAUGGCCUACCAAGGCUUUGACGGGUAGCCGGCCUGAGAGGGUGACCGGUCACAUUGAGACUGAGAUACGGCCCAGACUCCUACGGGAGGCAGCAGUGGGGAAUAUUGCACAAUGGGCGAAAGCCUGAUGCAGCGACGCCGCGUGAGGGAUGGAGGCCUUCGGGUUGUGAACCUCUUUCGCUCAUGGUCAAGCCGCAACAAUGGUUGUGGUGAGGGUAGUGGGUAAAGAAGCGCCGGCUAACUACGUG
This 482-nucleotide ribosomal RNA is filed under the name uncultured bacterium. RNAcentral describes it as "partial 16S ribosomal RNA". It matches the Rfam family "Bacterial small subunit ribosomal RNA", at positions 29 to 507 of the family's 1533-position model. The record is from RNAcentral.